AAUCUUCUUCAUUGCAGACUCGGUCGUAAGAGGACAUUUUAGAACCUGGUACUGAUCAAGUCUGUUCCUUCCAGGUGCACUAAUCCUGGGAUACUUGGGAUUUCUGUCCUUCUUCAAUGUCUUAGGCCGAUGAAAUGUAACUUUUGUUCGUAUUCUUUUUGACAUCUUCUUAAAGGUUGAUCCCGACUUCACAGCCUUGGCAGCCUUUACAGCUUGAGCUUUGGGGUCACCUUUUUUUAUCACAUCUUUAGCGGG
Molecule: unclassified non-coding RNA, 255 nt
Filed under: Hevea brasiliensis (rubber tree)
Lineage: Eukaryota; Viridiplantae; Streptophyta; Magnoliopsida; Malpighiales; Euphorbiaceae
Source: RNAcentral